This 1180-nucleotide long non-coding RNA is filed under the name Gossypium barbadense (sea-island cotton). Its description in RNAcentral is "long non-coding RNA (GBAR_LNC001482)". Lineage: Eukaryota; Viridiplantae; Streptophyta; Magnoliopsida; Malvales; Malvaceae. The record is from RNAcentral.
GACUUACGACCCAACAUUAGAACCAAAUUCAACCGAACAUUAUGCCAUUUUCGCAUGGCUAAAAGUUUACAUACCAAAUUUCAACAAAACAUAUUAGCCUAUACAUGCCGAAAUAUUCUCUUAGACCAACUAAGAAGAAAAUACCAAAGGUUGCUAGCCGGUGUGAUGACUUCGACGACGGCACGAUCACGCAAAAAGAGACGAGUCCAAGAAACCUAGAAUAGGUGACAAGCAAACACCGAAUGAGUAUAUAACUCAGUAAGCCAUAAGCAUUCCACAACCAUCCAUUAAUAAAAUUAUCACAACAAGAAACAAUGAAAUGAGGUUAAGUACUCCAUCCAUACCAAACUAUACCAUAGUUCCUUAAACCCUAUGGUUCAAUCUCAUACCAAGUCCUACAUUGACCUUUCAUACAUCAUUUUAUUUUCGUUAUAAUCAUACAAUUAAACGAACUUUCACCUAUUCCACAAUGAACCUAUUGUACGUGACUUCAACUAUAAUCGUCACAUAGGUUCAAAACUUACCAAGCUCAACUCCAAAUAUAAACAUAGCGCCUAUUAGCCAUGAACUCAAGGUACUUACCUUUUUCCACUGUCCAAAAUUGACUCGGUAAAGUCGCACCCUUCAUGUAAAUAAUUUAUAGAAAAUAUAUAUUGGGUUGCACACAUAACGUUUAGUAAUCAACCACGCACACUUAGUGCCAUGCACUUUAAACUCACACACUUAGUGCCAUGCAUUUCAAGUUCGCACACUUACCUUUUCCGCUGUCCAAAAUCGACUCGGUAAAGUCACACCCUUAAUGUAAAUAAUUUAUAGAAAAUAUAUAUUGGGUUCGCACACAUAGUGCUUAAUAAUCAACCGCGCACACUUAGUGCCAUGUACUUUAAACUCGCACACUUAGUGCUGUACAAUUUAAACCCGCACACUUAGUGUCAAUCUCAUGACCGUGAACACUUAUUGCCCGCACACUUAGUGCCGAAAACCAGCCACUCUAUAGGCUUCACUUCCUUUUUACAUUCGACAAAUUUCAUCUCUACUUACAUAUACAUUUGUAUACAUUUCAUCUCAUUAAACACAAUGGUAUAGGUAUUACGAUCAUUUAAAUCAAUACCAAAGAUAUGCUUAAUGACUUACUUGUGUUGGGUAAGAUGGUUCCAACUCGGCUACUCGAUGAUCUUUU